Molecule: long non-coding RNA, 757 nt
Organism: Ictalurus punctatus (channel catfish)
Lineage: Eukaryota; Metazoa; Chordata; Actinopteri; Siluriformes; Ictaluridae
Source: Ensembl
GUAGGUUUGGGAGUGGGUUUAGGACGAGUAAUGGUAGGUUUUGUGAGUGUGUUGAGGUUGGGUAAAUGUAGGUUUGGGAGUGGGUUUAGGUUGGGUAAAUGCAGGUUUGGGAGUGGGUUUAGGUUGGGUAAGUGCAGGUUUGGGAGUGGGUUUAGGUUGGGUAAAUGCAGGUUUGGGAGUGGGUUUAGGGUGGGUAAGUGUAGGUUUGGGAGUGGGUUUAGGGUGGGUAAGUGUAGGUUUGGGAGUGGGUUUAGGGUGGGGUAAGUGUAGGUUUGGAAGUGGGUUUAGGUUGGGUAAGUGUAGGUUUGGGAGUGGGUUUAGGGUGAGUAAUGGUAGGGUUUGUGGGUGGGUUUAGGUUGGGUAAGUGUAGGUUUGGGAGUGGGUUUAGGGUGGGUAAGUGUAGGUUUGGAAGUGGGUUUAGGGUGUGUAAGUGUAGGUUUGGGAGUGGGUUUAGGGUGUGUAAGUGUAGGUUUUGUACGUGCGUUGCAGGGGUAAGGGUAGGUUGUCUUGGUGUGCAAGAGUAUGUUUUAUAGUAAUGCUGGGUUAUAAAAUGUGUGUUUAUAUAACUUCAAUUGCAUUCCAACUGUGUAAUUUGUCAUUUUCUCUUUCCUGUGAAAAACUGAAUAAACAAAACAUCAUUAAAAAACCCCCACAAAUAAUUCAGCAAAAGAACAUCAGGUUUAAGUGAAAUUGAUGAAAUUAAAGGUAAUGGAGAAAACCUUGAAUUUUAUUUAUUUAUUUUUAUACAUCUUUCCAG